RNAcentral lists this ribosomal RNA (582 nucleotides) under uncultured bacterium. Its description in RNAcentral is "bacterial SSU rRNA". It matches the Rfam family "Bacterial small subunit ribosomal RNA", at positions 8 to 572 of the family's 1533-position model. The record is from RNAcentral.
AGAGUUUGAUCCUGGCUCAGGAUGAACACUGGCGGCGUGCCUAAUACAUGCAAGUCGAACGCGCAGCGAGAGGUGCUUGCACCUUUCAAGCGAGUGGCGAACGGGUGAGUAACACGUGGAUAACCUGCCUCAAGGCUGGGGAUAACAUUUGGAAACAGAUGCUAAUACCGAAUAAAACUUAGUAUCGCAUGAUAUAAAGUUAAAAGGCGCUACGGCGUCACCUAGAGAUGGAUCCGCGGUGCAUUAGUUAGUUGGUGGGGUAAAGGCUUACCAAGACAAUGAUGCAUAGCCGAGUUGAGAGACUGAUCGGCCACAUUGGGACUGAGACACGGCCCAAACUCCUACGGGAGGCUGCAGUAGGGAAUCUUCCACAAUGGGCGCAAGCCUGAUGGAGCAACGCCGCGUGUGUGAUGAAGGCUUUCGGGUCGUAAAGCACUGUUGUAUGGGAAGAAAUGCUAAAAUAGGGAAUGAUUUUAGUUUGACGGUACCAUACCAGAAAGGGACGGCUAAAUACGUGCCAGCAGCCGCGGUAAUACGUAUGUCCCGAGCGUUAUCCGGAUUUAUUGGGCGUAAAGCGAGCGC